RNAcentral lists this ribosomal RNA (496 nucleotides) under uncultured bacterium. RNAcentral's name for it is "partial 16S ribosomal RNA". It matches the Rfam family "Bacterial small subunit ribosomal RNA", at positions 28 to 506 of the family's 1533-position model. The record is from RNAcentral.
GAUGAACGCUGGCGGCGUGCCUAAUACAUGCAAGUCGAGCGAACAGACGAGGAGCUUGCUCCUCUGACGUUAGCGGCGGACGGGUGAGUAACACGUGGAUAACCUACCUAUAAGACUGGGAUAACUUCGGGAAACCGGAGCUAAUACCGGAUAAUAUAUUGAACCGCAUGGUUCAAUAGUGAAAGACGGUUUUGCUGUCACUUAUAGAUGGAUCCGCGCCGCAUUAGCUAGUUGGUAAGGUAACGGCUUACCAAGGCAACGAUGCGUAGCCGACCUGAGAGGGUGAUCGGCCACCCUGGAACUGAGACACGGUCCAGACUCCUACGGGAGGCAGCAGUAGGGAAUCUUCCGCAAUGGGCGAAAGCCUGACGGAGCAACGCCGCGUGAGUGAUGAAGGUCUUCGGAUCGUAAAACUCUGUUAUUAGGGAAGAACAAAUGUGUAAGUAACGAUGCACGUCUUGACGGUACCUAAGCAGAAAGCCACGGCUAACUACGU